This 494-nucleotide ribosomal RNA is filed under the name uncultured bacterium. RNAcentral's name for it is "bacterial SSU rRNA". It matches the Rfam family "Bacterial small subunit ribosomal RNA", at positions 899 to 1397 of the family's 1533-position model. The record is from RNAcentral.
ACUCAAAUGAAUAGACGGGGGCCCGCACAAGCAGUGGAGUAUGUGGUUUAAUUCGACGCAACGCGAAGAACCUUACCAGGUCUUGACAUCUGGCAAAUUUGGUCGAAAGAUCGAAGUGCCCUUCGGGGAAUGCCAAGACAGGUGGUGCAUGGUUGUCGUCAGCUCGUGUCGUGAGAUGUUGGGUUAAGUCCCGCAACGAGCGCAACCCUUGCCGUUAGUUACUACGAGAGAGAACUUUAACGGGACUGCCGUUGAAAAAACGGAGGAAGGUGGGGAUGACGUCAAAUCAUCAUGCCCCUUAUGACCUGGGCUACACAUGUACUACAAUGGCGUUUAACAAUGAGUUGCAACUUAGCGAUAGGGAGCUAACCUUUAAAAAACGCCUCAGUUCGGAUUGUAGGCUGAAACUCGCCUGCAUGAAGUAGGAAUUGCUAGUAAUCGCGGAUCAGCACGCCGCGGUGAAUACGUUCCCGGGCCUUGUACACACCGCCCGU